RNAcentral lists this unclassified non-coding RNA (200 nucleotides) under Hevea brasiliensis (rubber tree). The record is from RNAcentral. Lineage: Eukaryota; Viridiplantae; Streptophyta; Magnoliopsida; Malpighiales; Euphorbiaceae.
GGGGGCUGGAAAACUUUUGCAACGAGCGGCAGGACACUGCUAACUGCACGAUAUGACUUUGCAAUUGGGCAAUUUCCUGUUUGCAACCACUCAUUGCUUGAAGCCUCGUGAUUUGGCUGUCCUCCCUGUGAAGAUGGUUUCUUUUUGGAUGAUUUGGAGUUCUUUUCAUUUUUCCACUUCUUUGAAAAUGAGUCAAAGCU